GUGGCUUCAGGUGUCUCAUCCAUUGGAGAUGCCAAUUAAUAGCCUCUACAAAGGUAUAUGUCUACGCAUCUGACAAUUCUGAUGCCUUUUUCCUUUGUCCUUUCUUCCACAUCAUUUGGGCCAUUCAAGCGGAGGCGAUAUCAUUGAGCAAUGUUACCUUCAAGAUGAUAUUCGAUGGAGGUUCCCCAAAUUAUUGAACUUUCAUGGAGCACCUCUCUCCAGAACCCACUUUAUGAGAAUAUAUUGAGUAUGUUGUUGUCAAGGGAGAGAGAGGUGGUCCAUGGCAACUCAAUAGUUUGG
RNAcentral lists this long non-coding RNA (300 nucleotides) under Capsicum annuum. Its description in RNAcentral is "long non-coding RNA (CANN_LNC013925)". The record is from RNAcentral. Lineage: Eukaryota; Viridiplantae; Streptophyta; Magnoliopsida; Solanales; Solanaceae.